UGUGAGCUGUAACCAGGCUGCUGCAAGAAGAAAUGCUGUAUGGAACAAGAAUUUGGGACUCAUUCCUUUCCAAACUAUGAUGAGUGGAGCAACUCUGCCUGGACUGAACUCUGCUCUGCACGUGUGAGAUUCUUAGGUCUUUGAGAAAUUAGCUGGUGUCAUCAAGGAGCUCUGCUUUUUGACAUGAAGAAAAGGCACAGUUUGUUUCCUGAGCUGUCCCUGGGGCUUAAUUUGUGUUGGGGAAAACCAUCAGGGCAUUAAAGGUAAGAGUUUCUGACCACAAACUGCC
Lepidothrix coronata (blue-crowned manakin) is the source of this 289-nucleotide long non-coding RNA. RefSeq lists it as uncharacterized. The record is from RefSeq and is a predicted model, not a curated record. The transcript is spliced from 3 exons. NCBI's taxonomy places the organism in Eukaryota, Metazoa, Chordata, Aves, Passeriformes, Pipridae.